AUUGAACGCUGGCGGCAUGCUUUACACAUGCAAGUCGAACGGCAGCGCGGGCUUCGGCCUGGCGGCGAGUGGCGAACGGGUGAGUAAUACAUCGGAACGUGCCCAGUAGUGGGGGAUAGCUCGGCGAAAGCCGGAUUAAUACCGCAUACGACCUGAGGGUGAAAGCGGGGGAUCUUCGGACCCCGCGCUAUUGGAGCGGCCGAUGGCAGAUUAGCUAGUUGGUGGGGUAAAGGCCUACCAAGGCGACGAUCUGUAGCUGGUCUGAGAGGACGACCAGCCACACUGGGACUGAGACACGGCCCAGACUCCUACGGGAGGCAGCAGUGGGGAAUUUUGGACAAUGGGCGAAAGCCUGAUCCAGCAAUGCCGCGUGUGUGAUGAAGGCCUUCGGGUUGUAAAGCACUUUUGGCGGGAACGAAAAGGACUGUGCCAAUACCACGGUUCGAUGACGGUACCCGCAGAAUAAGCACCGGCUAACUACGUG
RNAcentral lists this ribosomal RNA (484 nucleotides) under uncultured bacterium. RNAcentral describes it as "partial 16S ribosomal RNA". It matches the Rfam family "Bacterial small subunit ribosomal RNA", at positions 29 to 507 of the family's 1533-position model. The record is from RNAcentral.